CUACGCCUGCAUGAAGUCGGAAUUGCUAGUAAUCGCAGAUCAGCAUGCUGCGGUGAAUACGUUCCCGGGCCUUGUACACACCGCCCGUCACACCAUGGGAGUCGGUAACACCCGAAGCCUGUAGUCUAACCGCAAGGAGGACGCAGUCGAAGGUGGGAUUGAUGACUGGGGUGAAGUCGUAACAAGGUAAC
Molecule: ribosomal RNA, 191 nt
Filed under: uncultured bacterium
Lineage: Bacteria
Description: partial 16S ribosomal RNA
Rfam family: Bacterial small subunit ribosomal RNA
Source: RNAcentral